Musa acuminata subsp. malaccensis (wild Malaysian banana) is the source of this 1533-nucleotide non-coding RNA. NCBI's taxonomy places the organism in Eukaryota, Viridiplantae, Streptophyta, Magnoliopsida, Zingiberales, Musaceae. The record is from RefSeq and is a predicted model, not a curated record.
UUCGUUUGCAUCCUCUUUUUUUUCAGAUCUGAAAGUGAAAUCACUUGGUCCUUGGAUGUUUCUGCUUCUGUUUCUUGUUGUUCCGAACUUGGCUCAGUCCCAGAUACUCUUCCAAGUAGAGAUAAACAGAUCCAUUUCUUUCCUUCGUCCUUCAUCGCGUUUAUACUAAGAGAAACGAAUACGUUGCAGGGCUUCAACUGGGAGUCGUGGAGGCAGCAAGGCGGCUGGUAUAACUUCUUGAAAGACAAAGUCUCUGAUGUAGCCAACGCUGGAGUCACCCACGUCUGGCUGCCUCCGCCCUCGCACUCUGUCGGCGUUCAAGGUUACAUGCCGGGCCGGCUCUACGACUUGGGUGCUUCCAAGUAUGGGAAUCAGGAUGAGUUGAAGGCGCUGAUCGGCGCUUUCCACGACAAGGGAGUCAAAUGCGUGGCCGACAUCGUCAUCAACCAUCGUUGCGCAGACAAGCAAGACGGGAGAGGCAUAUGGUGCAUCUUCGAAGGCGGAACCGAUGAUGCCCGCCUCGACUGGGGUCCACACCUGAUCUGUAGGGACGACACACAGUACUCCGAUGGCACCGGCAACCUCGACACCGGCGAGGGCUUCGCGGCGGCUCCCGACAUCGACCACCUCAACACGCAGGUCCAGCGUGAGCUCACGGACUGGCUGAGAUCGGCUUCGAUGGGUGGAGGCUCGACUUUGCCAAGGGUUACUCAAGCAUCGCCAAGAUCUACGUCGAACAGAUGCAGCCAAACUUCGUGGUGGCUGAGAUCUGGAGUUCAUUAGCUUACGGAAACGAUGGGAAGCCAGCAUACGAUCAGAACGGCAACCGCCAAGGGCUGGUUAAUUGGGUUCAGCAGGUCGGAGGCCCAGCGACGACCUUCGAUUUCACCACAAAGGGAAUACUACAAGCUGCCGUGGAAGGUGAACUGUGGAGAAUGCGUGAUCCCCAGGGGAAGGCGCCCGGCAUGAUGGGGUGGUGGCCGGAGAAGGCUGUCACCUUCGUCGACAACCACGAUACCGGUUCGACGCAAAGGUUGUGGCCUUUUCCUUCUGAUAAGGUCAUGCAAGGCUACGCUUAUAUACUCACGCAUCCGGGAGUCCUUUCCAUCUUCUACGACCACAUGUUCGACUGGGGAUUGAAGGAGAAGAUAACUCGGUUGGCUGAAACCAGAACACGAAAUGGAAUUCAUUCGGGUAGCGCUCUCAACAUUCUGGCCGCUGAUGCUGACCUCUACAUGGCAAUGAUCGAUGGGAAGAUAUUGACAAAGCUAGGCUCGAGAUACGAUGUGGGGAAUCUCGUUCCUUCCAACUUCCACGUUGUUGCCUCUGGCAAUGACUACUGCGUGUGGGAGAAGAGAUGAAGACGAUGAUGAUGAAUCAUGGAAGAGACUUUUCGCUUCUAUUUCGUUAACGUUUUUCAUCUAUGUUGUAAGAAAAAAAUAUCGUUUCUCAUCUUUGUAAAUAUAUUUUAGUGUGAAAUCUUGGGUGCUGUUGUUAGCUUUAGAAAAAAGAUGGUUUCAUUGUGAUAUUAAA